RNAcentral lists this long non-coding RNA (1104 nucleotides) under Nicotiana benthamiana. RNAcentral's name for it is "long non-coding RNA (NBEN_LNC034745)". The record is from RNAcentral. Lineage: Eukaryota; Viridiplantae; Streptophyta; Magnoliopsida; Solanales; Solanaceae.
UGUGCUUGUUGACAUAAUUUUUAUAUUAUAAAUGAUAUUUGUCUUAUUUUAGCAUCUUUUUGUCCAUAUUAGUUAGGCGCGUUUAUAACGAUAUACUUCCGUGGAAUCCUGCAAAUUUUUUUGUUGUUGUAAUCGUUAACCGAAUUGAUAAGCCCCUAAAAUUGAUAAAUCGAAAUCGAAAAAAUCGAAACCUUAUUAGGACGAUAACGAUAAGCAUAUGUACAAAUCGAUAAGUAAUUAUCGAUAAGAGUCAAAAUUGAAUCGAUAAUUCGAAUGCACACCCCUAAUGGCUUCUUGUACAUGAUCACUUUUGGGAGAAUUCUUAGUCUCCCUAACAUAGGAAACCUCAAUUUGAGACUUUACAAAUGUAAGAGCUAGACUCUUAGUUAUCCAUUGGUUAUCCAUUUCCUAAAUAGAUAUUAUAGUUCUUAUCCAUAUUUGACCCGUUUUUAAAAAGUUUAUUAUCCAAGCCAUUUUUUAGUGGAUAAUAUGGAUGGUUAACUGUUUUCUUUGAACCAUUUUGCCACCUCUAAUCGGAUCCAAACUUCGUUACGUGAUUGCGAACGUGUAACUGAGACGACGACCUAUGGCCACCAUGCUCGAAACUUGGAAAAUGACUCACUCGGUUAUUUCCGAGAUGGGGCUCUCUGCCAAACCUCAAAUUGGUGGCUGGGGUAUCAUUUGGCAGUGGGUGGAGAAAGUGGUGAAGGCAAGGGUGGUGUUGGGUGAUCGCCAGUGACUGGCCAGAAAAUGGUUGUCGAAUUUUGGGAUUGAAAUUAACAUUAAUAGGUAGGUCUUGAAGAGCUCUAUCCCCUAAGGUAGGUAUUGAAGUGUUUUGGUGGCUGGAACUUCACGAAUUUAGGUAAAAAGGUAGCGGCUAGGAUAUCCUAUAUCUAAAUUUCAUAGAGUGUGAGGGGUUUUGAAGUAUUUUAUUUAAAGAUGUGGAAAGAGGAAGUUGUGAAAAUUAUAUAUUGAGAUUUUUAGGUCAAAUGGGAGUUUCCGGCGGUGGUUGGUGGCGGAGCCACGGCGGCGAUGCCUGAAGGGAGAAGCGGCGGGGAAGGAGGGGGAAUAAGAAAAGAGGGGCUCAAGGGUUUGGCUUUUUAG